This 1044-nucleotide ribosomal RNA is filed under the name Escherichia coli. RNAcentral describes it as "partial 23S ribosomal RNA". It matches the Rfam family "Bacterial large subunit ribosomal RNA", at positions 147 to 1230 of the family's 2925-position model. Lineage: Bacteria; Pseudomonadati; Pseudomonadota; Gammaproteobacteria; Enterobacterales; Enterobacteriaceae. The record is from RNAcentral.
ACUAUCAUUAACUGAAUCCAUAGGUUAAUGAGGCGAACCGGGGGAACUGAAACAUCUAAGUACCCCGAGGAAAAGAAAUCAACCGAGAUUCCCCCAGUAGCGGCGAGCGAACGGGGAGCAGCCCAGAGCCUGAAUCAGUGUGUGUGUUAGUGGAAGCGUCUGGAAAGGCGCGCGAUACAGGGUGACAGCCCCGUACACAAAAAUGCACAUGCUGUGAGCUCGAUGAGUAGGGCGGGACACGUGGUAUCCUGUCUGAAUAUGGGGGGACCAUCCUCCAAGGCUAAAUACUCCUGACUGACCGAUAGUGAACCAGUACCGUGAGGGAAAGGCGAAAAGAACCCCGGCGAGGGGAGUGAAAAAGAACCUGAAACCGUGUACGUACAAGCAGUGGGAGCACGCUUAGGCGUGUGACUGCGUACCUUUUGUAUAAUGGGUCAGCGACUUAUAUUCUGUAGCAAGGUUAACCGAAUAGGGGAGCCGAAGGGAAACCGAGUCUUAACUGGGCGUUAAGUUGCAGGGUAUAGACCCGAAACCCGGUGAUCUAGCCAUGGGCAGGUUGAAGGUUGGGUAACACUAACUGGAGGACCGAACCGACUAAUGUUGAAAAAUUAGCGGAUGACUUGUGGCUGGGGGUGAAAGGCCAAUCAAACCGGGAGAUAGCUGGUUCUCCCCGAAAGCUAUUUAGGUAGCGCCUCGUGAAUUCAUCUCCGGGGGUAGAGCACUGUUUCGGCAAGGGGGUCAUCCCGACUUACCAACCCGAUGCAAACUGCGAAUACCGGAGAAUGUUAUCACGGGAGACACACGGCGGGUGCUAACGUCCGUCGUGAAGAGGGAAACAACCCAGACCGCCAGCUAAGGUCCCAAAGUCAUGGUUAAGUGGGAAACGAUGUGGGAAGGCCCAGACAGCCAGGAUGUUGGCUUAGAAGCAGCCAUCAUUUAAAGAAAGCGUAAUAGCUCACUGGUCGAGUCGGCCUGCGCGGAAGAUGUAACGGGGCUAAACCAUGCACCGAAGCUGCGGCAGCGACGCUUAUGCGUUGUUGGGUA